AAGAAGUUUCCGCGUGGAGUGAUGAGACUGAAGAACUGUUCAGGAGAGGGAAAAGAUUAAUGGAAGAAGGAAGGAAGGAAAGGAAAGAAAAGAAAAAGAAAGACAGAAGGAAGAGAAAGAUUGUUUGGUUGGUUUUUUCUGAGAUCUGAACAUCUAACAAUGAAACGCUCACUUUGACACCUAUACAGAUUUAAUAAUUCUAUCCCUUUGACGAUUUCACACCUUAUAUUCACACCACCUUUGUAUAUAUGUCUCCCCUUCGCUUUCUCUCUCUAUCUUUCUCUCUUUUGAUUUCUUUCUCGACACUCAUUUAAUUCGCGGCCAAAUCUUCUUCUAUUUCUCGUCCUGAUCUGGGUUGGUCUAUGGAGGGGCAUCAUAUCAGUGUUCAUAUCGAUACGGGUGAUAGGUUUCCUCAAUGGAGUAUUCAGGAGACAAAGGAGUUUUUGAUGAUUCGGGCAGAGUUGGAUCGGACUUUCAUGGAGACCAAACGGAACAAGCUUCUGUGGGAAGUGAUUGCGAACAAGAUGAAGGAGAAGGGCUAUAAUCGAAGCGCGGAUCAGUGCAAGUGCAAGUGGAAGAAUCUGGUCACCAGAUACAAGGGAUGCGAAACGAUGGAGCCAGAAGCCAUGAGGCAACAAUUUCCGUUUUACAAUGAGUUGCAGGCGAUUUUCACAGCGAGGAUGCAAAGAAUGCUGUGGAUUGAGGCAGAAGGCGGGGCAAAGAAGAAAGGGGUGCAGCUAUCUUCGGAAGAUGAAGACGAGAACGAGGAAAGCGAAGGGGAGAAGGGAAGCAGCAAGAAGAAGAAAAAGGGCAAGACCAGUGUGAAUGUGGGUGGCAGCAGCAGCGGAGGUAGUUUCAAUUUGAAAGAAGUUUUGGAAGAUUUCAUGAAGCAGCAGGUGCAAAUGGAGGUGCAAUGGCGAGAAGUGUUCGAGGAGAGGGAAAAGGAGAGGAGAGCCAAGGAGAUGGAGUGGAGACAAACCAUGGAGGCAUUGGAAAACGAGAGGAUAAUGAUGGAUAGGAGGUGGAGGGAGAGGGAAGAGCAAAGGCGGAUGAGAGAAGACGCUAGGUCUGAGCGGAGAGACGCUCUUAUCACAGCACUUCUAAACAAGCUCAGAAGAGAAGAGAUGUAAUUCGUAUUGGGUCAGCUAGCUGUAGUUUCUUUUCUUGUAGUUCUUCUGGAGAAGAGGAAGCUUUGAGAGGUGACCCAGAAUCUGAUAUCUUUCAAAUUUGUCAUGAAAAAGAGCAUGAAGAUCUUGGAUAUAAUGUGGUGGGAAGAAAGAAUUUAAAGUUGGGCAUCUAAUUGAGGGUGUAAUCCACCAAAACUACUAGUGUCUCAGGUGAUGAUCAUGGAAAUAGAGAUGAUAUUGGGAGGAAAGAAAUGGUUGGUUUUAAUUCAUUGUGAUCCACAGUGCCAUCCUCAAUGGCCUGUCCUUGCCAACAAUGGUUCUCAACUUCUUUUGUUAUAUACAUACACACACACACACACACCUAAAGCCCAUAUUUGUCCUAUUUAUAUGAUCCUUGUUCAGUGUUCUCAAUCAGCCAUGAAAUCCCUCUCAAGCCUAGAGUUUCUGUAUAACCUAAUGGAUGAUUGCAUGUCUCGAAGGUGGUGGACAUUUGCAGGGUAGGAGAAAGCACCAUACAUCUGGGUUCAUUUUGUCAAAGGGGAGAUGAUGAUUGUUCUGAAUCAAAGAUAGCAUUUUAUGGGCUUCGGAUUCUAUAAUUGACAUUUUAGCUUUUACAGUAGGGCAAUUUCUCGAAUUUCCAUGGAGUCCUGGAUUAAUGUCAAACCAUGUGCAUGAAAAACUUUGCGCGUACUGGUCCAACAGCUGUGAUAUUCCGGAUGGUAACGUAGUUUCCUCGCAACAUAUUCUGGGUUAUUAAUUUGUACUCAAGACAUAGACUAGGAAUAUUGGCUCUCUCUUUCGAGGAAAUUAACUUGAGUUUGCUGCCUUAAUUAGAUCAACAACUUCAUGACAACAUUUGUGGAUUUGUUGUUUCAUCCCAGGUAAAAAAAAAAAACCUGACAGAUCAACAAUAUUCCUGAGUCCUAGCUAGGAUAUGAGAAUGGAUACUGUUAAGCUCAUUUCCUUCUGCUGGAUGAUUAACUUAGAAAAGGCAGUGUGCUGAUCAUAUUUACAUUGGGUGUCAAAUAUUGAGGUAUCGAUACAACUAUCAUCUAUGGUAUGAUUAAUAAAUUCUAUAAUUACUAGUUCAUUUGUGCGUGUAUUGAUGGAUAUGUAUGUAUGUUCUUCACUUUUUGGGCGCUUCCAUUUCUUUUUUGUUUAAUUUUUUUUUCCUUUGACAUUAUUAGUCAUAUUCAAAUCUUCUAUUAAUUAAGUUCACACAAUUUGUUCAAUUUUGUGGGUUCUUCUAGAUUCAAUUUUAGGUAUGUCAAACUUAGGCCUUAAUUCAUUCACAUUUUCUCUUUAUAUGAAAUAUCACAUUAAUAUCAAUAAUUUAUUGUACCAAAACCCUUUGACACCUAUGCUGCAACCCUGAUGUCUUUCGGACGAACUUAAUUGCUUGCCCUAUUGGGUCCGUACUAGCUAGGCACCUUACGACACACACUUUAGAGCGUGCAUGAACUGACAAACUUGAUUGACAACAUAGUAGAUGUUAGGUCUGGUGAGAGUGAGGUACUGAAGGGCGCCAACAAUGCUACGAUAUUAUGUUGUAUAAGAGAGAAGAGUAUCACAUUGUAUGCAGAGAGCUUUGAGCCAAACGCAAGGGGUAUGUUUUUAGAUUAUUGUGCUUUAAUCUCGAAGAACCUCAACUUAGGGUUUCCAUCUCUCUCUCCUUAUGAGUGUCGAUAUUUCAAAAAAUCUCAACUUAGGGUUUCCACCUCUAUCUCCUUAUAAGUGUUGAUAUUAAUAGAUUCUUGUGAUUUGAUUUCAAAUAAUCUCAACUUAGGGUUUCCACCUCUAUCUCCUUAUGAGUGUCGAUAUUAAUUCAGGAAAGAUUACAGAUGACACUUUUGAACAAAUGUCGAUAUAAGAAUAGCAUCAAUAAUAUGCUUUUUUGUAGUAUUGCAUGGCUUAUUUUUACUUUUUAUGUUGCAGAUGUAUUAGCUAAGAUGAAUUUCCAAUCAAAAGAAGUGUACUAUGCUUUGCAUGCAUUCACAAGUGCAGUAAUUCUCUGUGUGAUUUUUCAUUGUAGAGGAAAGCUUAAUUAGUGCCUUCAACUGAAAGGCAAUGAUUCCAUUUCUGCAUGAUUAAUGCAUAUCGUACAAGAUUUGUUUUCAUUAGAACAUUAUAAGGAGACAGAGAGGAAUGGAUUCCACAUGAUGUUAGCUAUUUUAAUGGCAGUUUAUGGGGAAUUUGUUGAUGUAA
Molecule: RNA transcript, 3332 nt
Organism: Vitis vinifera (wine grape)
Lineage: Eukaryota; Viridiplantae; Streptophyta; Magnoliopsida; Vitales; Vitaceae
Gene name: trihelix transcription factor GT-3b
Exons: 3
Source: RefSeq, a predicted model, not a curated record